Molecule: ribosomal RNA, 1229 nt
Filed under: uncultured bacterium
Lineage: Bacteria
Description: bacterial SSU rRNA
Rfam family: Bacterial small subunit ribosomal RNA
Source: RNAcentral
AGUGGCGAACGGGUGAGUAACACGUGGGUGAUCUGCCCUGCACUUUGGGAUAAGCCUGGGAAACUGGGUCUAACACCGAAUAGGAUCAUGCUCUUCAUGGGGUGUGGUGGAAAGCUUUUGCGGUGUGGGAUGGGCCCGCGGCCUAUCAGCUUGUUGGUGGGGUAAUGGCCUACCAAGGCGACGACGGGUAGCCGGCCUGAGAGGGUGACCGGCCACACUGGGACUGAGAUACGGUCCAGACUCCUACGGGAGGCAGCAGUGGGGAAUAUUGCACAAUGGGCGCAAGCCUGAUGCAGCGACGCCGCGUGAGGGAUGACGGCCUUCGGGUUGUAAACCUCUUUCACCAGGGACGAAGCGCAAGUGACGGUACCUGGAGAAGAAGCACCGGCCAACUACGUGCCAGCAGCCGCGGUAAUACGUAGGGUGCGAGCGUUGUCCGGAAUUACUGGGCGUAAAGAGCUCGUAGGUGGUUUGUCGCGUUGUUCGUGAAAACUCACAACUCAAUUGUGGGCGUGCGGGCGAUACGGGCAGACUAGAGUACUGCAGGGGAGACUGGAAUUCCUGGUGUAGCGGUGGAAUGCGCAGAUAUCAGGAGGAACACCGGUGGCGAAGGCGGGUCUCUGGGCAGUAACUGACGCUGAGGAGCGAAAGCGUGGGGAGCGAACAGGAUUAGAUACCCUGGUAGUCCACGCCGUAAACGGUGGGUACUAGGUGUGGGUUCCUUCCUUGGGAUCCGUGCCGUAGCUAACGCAUUAAGUACCCCGCCUGGGGAGUACGGCCGCAAGGCUAAAACUCAAAGGAAUUGACGGGGGCCCGCACAAGCGGCGGAGCAUGUGGAAUAAUUCGAUGCAACGCGAAGAACCUUACCUGGGUUUGACAUGCACAGGACGCCGGCAGAGAUGUCGGUUCCCUUGUGGCCUGUGUGCAGGUGGUGCAUGGCUGUCGUCAGCUCGUGUCGUGAGAUGUUGGGUUAAGUCCCGCAACGAGCGCAACCCUUGUCCUAUGUUGCCAGCGGGUUAUGCCGGGGACUCGUAGGAGACUGCCGGGGUCAACUCGGAGGAAGGUGGGGAUGACGUCAAGUCAUCAUGCCCCCUAUGUCCAGGGCUUCACACAUGCUACAAUGGCCGGUACAAAGGGCUGCGAUGCCGUGAGGUGGAGCGAAUCCUUUCAAAGCCGGUCUCCGUUCGGAUCGGGGUCUGCAACUCGACCCCGUGAAGUCGGAGUCGCUA